CUGGCGACCGGCGCACGGGUGAGUAACACGUAUCCAACCUGCCGAUGACUCGGGGAUAGCCUUUCGAAAGAAAGAUUAAUACCCGAUGGUAUAUCUGAAAGGCAUCUUUCAGCUAUUAAAGAAUUUCGGUCAUUGAUGGGGAUGCGUUCCAUUAGGUUGUUGGCGGGGUAACGGCCCACCAAGCCAUCGAUGGAUAGGGGUUCUGAGAGGAAGGUCCCCCACAUUGGAACUGAGACACGGUCCAAACUCCUACGGGAGGCAGCAGUGAGGAAUAUUGGUCAAUGGACGAGAGUCUGAACCAGCCAAGUAGCGUGAAGGAUGACUGCCCUAUGGGUUGUAAACUUCUUUUAUACGGGAAUAAAGUUAGGCACGUGUGCCUUUUUGUAUGUACCGUAUGAAUAAGGAUCGGCUAACUCCGUGCCAGCAGCCGCGGUAAUACGGAGGAUCCGAGCGUUAUCCGGAUUUAUUGGGUUUAAAGGGAGCGUAGGCGGAUGCUUAAGUCAGUUGUGAAAGUUUGCGGCUCAACCGUAAAAUUGCAGUUGAUACUGGGUGUCUUGAGUACAGUAGAGGCAGGCGGAAUUCGUGGUGUAGCGGUGAAAUGCUUAGAUAUCACGAAGAACUCCGAUUGCGAAGGCAGCUUGCUGGACUGUAACUGACGCUGAUGCUCGAAAGUGUGGGUAUCAAACAGGAUUAGAUACCCUGGUAGUCCACACAGUAAACGAUGAAUACUCGCUGUUUGCGAUAUACAGUAAGCGGCCAAGCGAAAGCGUUAAGUAUUCCA
This 781-nucleotide ribosomal RNA is filed under the name uncultured bacterium. Its description in RNAcentral is "bacterial SSU rRNA". It matches the Rfam family "Bacterial small subunit ribosomal RNA", at positions 88 to 871 of the family's 1533-position model. The record is from RNAcentral.